CAGCAGCCGCGGGAAUACGUAGGGUGCGAGCGUUAAUCGGAAUUACUGGGCGUAAAGCGUGCGCAGGCGGUUUUGUAAGACAGGCGUGAAAUCCCCGGGCUCAACCUGGGAAUGGCGCUUGUGACUGCAAAGCUAGAGUGCGGCAGAGGGGGAUGGAAUUCCGCGUGUAGCAGUGAAAUGCGUAGAUAUGCGGAGGAACACCGAUGGCAAAGGCAAUCCCCUGGGCCUGCACUGACGCUCAUGCACGAAAGCGUGGGGAGCAAACAGGAUUAGAUACCCCAGUAGUCCCUGUCUCUUAUAC
This 301-nucleotide ribosomal RNA is filed under the name uncultured bacterium. RNAcentral's name for it is "partial 16S ribosomal RNA". It matches the Rfam family "Bacterial small subunit ribosomal RNA", at positions 509 to 807 of the family's 1533-position model. The record is from RNAcentral.